This 496-nucleotide ribosomal RNA is filed under the name uncultured bacterium. RNAcentral's name for it is "partial 16S ribosomal RNA". It matches the Rfam family "Bacterial small subunit ribosomal RNA", at positions 28 to 506 of the family's 1533-position model. The record is from RNAcentral.
GAUGAACGCUGGCGGCGUGCCUAAUACAUGCAAGUCGAGCGAACAGACGAGGAGCUUGCUCCUCUGACGUUAGCGGCGGACGGGUGAGUCACACGUGGAUAACCUACCUAUAAGACUGGGAUAACUACGCGAAACCGGAGCUACUACCGGAUGAUAUAUCGAACCGCAUGGUGCAAUAGUUAAAGACGGUUUUUCUGUCACUUAUAGAUUGAUCCGCGCCGCAUUAGUUGGUUGGGAAGGUAACGGCUUAGCAAGGCGACGAGGCGUAGCCGACCUGAGAGGGCGAUCGGCCGCACUGGAGAUAGGACGAGGUCCAGACCCGGACGUGAGGCAGGAGCAGGGAACCUACCGGAAGGGGCGAAAGCGAGACGGAGCAACGGCGCGUGAGUGAGGAAGGUCUACGGAGCGUGAAUCUCUGUUAUCUGGGAAGAACAAAUGUGUUAGUAACGAGGCGCGUAUGGCAGGUACGGAAGAAGAAGGCCAGGCCUAACUACGG